GCAAGUCGAACGAGAGAAGAGAAGCUUGCUUUUCUGAUCUAGUGGCGGACGGGUGAGUAACACGUGAGCAAUCUGCCUUUCAGAGGGGGAUACCGAUUGGAAACGAUCGUUAAUACCGCAUAAUAUAAUUGAACCGCAUGAUUUGAUUAUCAAAGAUUUAUCGCUGAAAGAUGAGCUCGCGUCUGAUUAGCUAGUUGGUAAGGUAACGGCUUACCAAGGCGACGAUCAGUAGCCGGACUGAGAGGUUGAUCGGCCACAUUGGGACUGAGACACGGCCCAGACUCCUACGGGAGGCAGCAGUGGGGAAUAUUGCACAAUGGAGGAAACUCUGAUGCAGCGAUGCCGCGUGAGGGAAGAAGGUUUUAGGAUUGUAAACCUCUGUCUUCAGGGACGAAAAAUGACGGUACCUGAGGAGGAAGCUCCGGCUAACUACAUGCCAGCAGCCGCGGUAAUACGUAGGGAGCGAGCGUUGUCCGGAAUUACUGGGUGUAAAGGGAGCGUAGGCGGGAUCGCAAGUCAGAUGUGAAAACUAUGGGCUUAACCCAUAAACUGCAUUUGAAACUGUGGUUCUUGAGUGAAGUAGAGGUAAGCGGAAUUCCUAGUGUAGCGGUGAAAUGCGUAGAUAUUAGGAGGAACAUCAGUGGCGAAGGCGGCUUACUGGGCUUUAACUGACGCUGAGGCUCGAAAGCGUGGGGAGCAAACAGGAUUAGAUGCCCUGGUAGUCCACGCCGUAAACGAUGAUUACUAGGUGUGGGGGGACUGACCCCUUCCGUGCCGCAGCAAGCGCAAUAAGUAAUCCACCUGGGGAGUACGACCGCAAGGUUGAAACUCAAAGGAAUUGACGGGGGCCCGCACAAGCAGUGGAGUAUGUGGAUUAAUUCGAAGCAACGCGAAGAACC
RNAcentral lists this ribosomal RNA (899 nucleotides) under uncultured bacterium. RNAcentral describes it as "bacterial SSU rRNA". It matches the Rfam family "Bacterial small subunit ribosomal RNA", at positions 57 to 970 of the family's 1533-position model. The record is from RNAcentral.